GGGGCCGUACCGGUUUCGACGGGGAUAAGGAAAUCGGAAUAGCGGGCAGAUGCGCCUACCAUCUCAAAAAUGGGCACUUAUAAAUUAAAGAACAACAACGAAACUGUUCUUCUCGCUGCUUAAGCAGUGAGCGUCGCCUCCGGAGGGGCCGCGGGCCGGAAGGCGGCGUCGAUUAGCGGCGUCCGUGAGCGCGCAAAGCUUUGAGCGCGCCAUGCAUAAUGAAGCUACCAAGCCGUUGAGCAUGAAGGCUUGCGCCUCGGCAAGGGAAUGUAAAUAACCUUCUGCGCCCGGAGAAGUUCCGGUGGAUGUAUUUUCGGACAGGGGUUCAAUUCCCCUCGGCUCCACCA
Molecule: transfer-messenger RNA, 347 nt
Filed under: Oscillospiraceae
Lineage: Bacteria; Bacillati; Bacillota; Clostridia; Eubacteriales
Also listed under: 1 other name
Description: Scatomorpha sp002427465 Standard tmRNA
Rfam family: transfer-messenger RNA
About the family: Bacterial tmRNA, also known as 10Sa RNA or SsrA, is named for its dual tRNA and mRNA-like properties. Its role is to liberate the mRNA from a stalled ribosome.
Source: RNAcentral